GCAGUUCCCAUUCCUAGUAUGCCAACAUGGGCCUUGGGGUGUUGAAGCCGGGAUGGAAACGGAGUUGUACCGCUGAUACUGCAGGAAAAGCAUGUUGGUGGUAGUGUCCAAUGUCCACCCAAUGGACAACUCGUCGGGGAUGUCCAUGUAGAAAGCGGAGAUGAAAACGGAGUAGUACCGCUGAUACUGCAGGAAAAGCAUUGCAUCCUGUUGUUGGUAGUGUCCAGUGUCCACCCAAUGGAAAAACAACAACAAACAACAACAACAAAACGGCAAAGGCGCUAUUAUGAAAUCAGUACAGAUUUAAAAGGAAUACAAAUGCCGCCCUUUAAUGGCCAACCGAAACAGGUUGGCAUAUUGGAAAUCGGAACUGAUCUGCAAAUGUUACGGAGAAGAUGACAAAGCAUCCGUGACAUUGAAGGAUGCCCUGACGCGCAAGCGAACAUGAGUGAGCAAACUUUGGAUCGCAGGAAACAAAUUUGGAUGUAUGGUGCACACUUGACGACUCCGUGCUAAGGUUUACCCUGGGGACAGCUGGCUCGAAAAGGAAAUAAACCAAAUAAGGACGGAGGAUCGAAAACAGGCCGUCGUGUC
Drosophila biarmipes is the source of this 594-nucleotide long non-coding RNA. RefSeq lists it as uncharacterized. The record is from RefSeq and is a predicted model, not a curated record. Lineage: Eukaryota; Metazoa; Arthropoda; Insecta; Diptera; Drosophilidae. The transcript is spliced from 3 exons.